This 1069-nucleotide long non-coding RNA is filed under the name Heterocephalus glaber (naked mole-rat). RNAcentral's name for it is "lncRNA (ENSHGLG00000048055.1)". Lineage: Eukaryota; Metazoa; Chordata; Mammalia; Rodentia; Bathyergidae. The record is from RNAcentral.
CUGGCGGCGUGCGUGACCGCCGGCAACCAGAGGCGGGGCCGAGGCAACAGCCGGGGCGCUGUCCGCAGUGGGGAUGGCGACGCGGACCACGGCUGCCCCUCUGCCCACCUCAGUGGGCCUGUGCAUCUGGGCUGCCUCGCCUGCAGGUUUCCGCUCAGUUCAGGGGAGGCGGGUGCGGGAGGGAGCAGAGCCCGUCAGACCCCACAGGGACACGUGAGACGCCUGCUGCUACCACACACGCCUGCACCAUCAACAUACAAAGAGAAACGGCUUACUGCACCUCAGUCUCAAAGGCUGUGUUCAGGACUGGGUGGCCCUGCAGCCAUGGGGCCCGGGACAAGGCACCAGGACAUCAAAACUGCUCACCUCACAGUGGCCAGGAAGCAACGGAGAGGAGACGGCCAGCGUCUCACGGUCCCUUUCAGGAGCGCCCCUUGAUCAACACAAGCUCUCCAGGCACCACCUCAAAGGUUUUAGCACUUGCAGCAGUGCCACACUGAGUCCAUCCUCUAAUCUCGGGUCUCAGGGGACAUUCCAGAUCCAAACUGUCCAUCUGCCACCUGCUCCUGCAGGGACCCUUGCCAGCCAGGCCUGGCCUCACCGAGAGCUCUGCUCCUGGCCCCUGAGGGCUCCAUGGCCUCAGCAGGGACCAGGCUGCUCCUGCCCCCGAGGCUCAGCUGCCUGUCCUCGCUUGCAAGCUCAGGACAGUGUGCUGAAGGCCCCGGUGUCACUCCUGAGCUGGGCCCCCACUCACUGGGCAUCUACUGAAGAAAACUCAGCCCCUCCCACAUCAACCUCCUGAGGAAGGCGACUUCCACGCAGAUGCCGCCAACGGCAGUGCUUGCCUGCGGUGUCUCUGUGUGGAGGCCUUGGCUACCUCUUCCAACAGCUCUGAGGGCAGGCGGCACGGAUUCCAUGCUUGCUGAGGGUGACAUGCUAGGACUGGAAUGCGCCCACCUGCCUCCUGACCCUGACCUCUGCUGCUCUACUCUGUCCAGAUGAUUCAGAGGAGCGAAAUGUCCGGCACCUCCAGGGAAAUUUGCCUUUUUUUUCUUUUUAUAAAAUUCAG